This 291-nucleotide unclassified non-coding RNA is filed under the name plant metagenome. RNAcentral's name for it is "partial contains 5.8S ribosomal RNA, internal transcribed spacer 2, and large subunit ribosomal RNA". The record is from RNAcentral.
GCUGGACAACCUGAUUGGCAACAAACUUCUCCUGCAGGAAGCCGACAAGCGCGGCAUCGAGGCGAGCGAGGAGGCGAUUGCCGCGGCCACGAAGGAACUGGUUCAGGCAAACCAGUUUUCAACGGAGGAGGAGCUGUUCGCAGCCCUUGAGGAGCGGGACAUCCCCCGGGAGGAAGCGGACGAGCAGAUCCGACAGCAGGUCCGCCUGGAUGCGCUGCUCGCUCAAGAAGGGGCCGACGACGCGCCGACCGAAGAGCAGCUCACGGCCGCCUACGAGCAGGCCAAGACGCA